UAACAUACUGGUAAAUGGGAUGGA
Molecule: non-coding RNA, 24 nt
Filed under: Arabidopsis thaliana (thale cress)
Lineage: Eukaryota; Viridiplantae; Streptophyta; Magnoliopsida; Brassicales; Brassicaceae
Source: RNAcentral